RNAcentral lists this ribosomal RNA (2902 nucleotides) under Shigella flexneri VA-6. RNAcentral describes it as "23S ribosomal RNA". The record is from RNAcentral. Lineage: Bacteria; Pseudomonadati; Pseudomonadota; Gammaproteobacteria; Enterobacterales; Enterobacteriaceae.
AAGGUUAAGCCUCACGGUUCAUUAGUACCGGUUAGCUCAACGCAUCGCUGCGCUUACACACCCGGCCUAUCAACGUCGUCGUCUUCAACGUUCCUUCAGGACCCUUAAAGGGUCAGGGAGAACUCAUCUCGGGGCAAGUUUCGUGCUUAGAUGCUUUCAGCACUUAUCUCUUCCGCAUUUAGCUACCGGGCAGUGCCAUUGGCAUGACAACCCGAACACCAGUGAUGCGUCCACUCCGGUCCUCUCGUACUAGGAGCAGCCCCCCUCAGUUCUCCAGCGCCCACGGCAGAUAGGGACCGAACUGUCUCACGACGUUCUAAACCCAGCUCGCGUACCACUUUAAAUGGCGAACAGCCAUACCCUUGGGACCUACUUCAGCCCCAGGAUGUGAUGAGCCGACAUCGAGGUGCCAAACACCGCCGUCGAUAUGAACUCUUGGGCGGUAUCAGCCUGUUAUCCCCGGAGUACCUUUUAUCCGUUGAGCGAUGGCCCUUCCAUUCAGAACCACCGGAUCACUAUGACCUGCUUUCGCACCUGCUCGCGCCGUCACGCUCGCAGUCAAGCUGGCUUAUGCCAUUGCACUAACCUCCUGAUGUCCGACCAGGAUUAGCCAACCUUCGUGCUCCUCCGUUACUCUUUAGGAGGAGACCGCCCCAGUCAAACUACCCACCAGACACUGUCCGCAACCCGGAUUACGGGUCCACGUUAGAACAUCAAACAUUAAAGGGUGGUAUUUCAAGGUCGGCUCCAUGCAGACUGGCGUCCACACUUCAAAGCCUCCCACCUAUCCUACACAUCAAGGCUCAAUGUUCAGUGUCAAGCUAUAGUAAAGGUUCACGGGGUCUUUCCGUCUUGCCGCGGGUACACUGCAUCUUCACAGCGAGUUCAAUUUCACUGAGUCUCGGGUGGAGACAGCCUGGCCAUCAUUACGCCAUUCGUGCAGGUCGGAACUUACCCGACAAGGAAUUUCGCUACCUUAGGACCGUUAUAGUUACGGCCGCCGUUUACCGGGGCUUCGAUCAAGAGCUUCGCUUGCGCUAACCCCAUCAAUUAACCUUCCGGCACCGGGCAGGCGUCACACCGUAUACGUCCACUUUCGUGUUUGCACAGUGCUGUGUUUUUAAUAAACAGUUGCAGCCAGCUGGUAUCUUCGACUGAUUUCAGCUCCACGAGCAAGUCGCUUCACCUACGUAUCAGCGUGCCUUCUCCCGAAGUUACGGCACCAUUUUGCCUAGUUCCUUCACCCGAGUUCUCUCAAGCGCCUUGGUAUUCUCUACCUGACCACCUGUGUCGGUUUGGGGUACGAUUUGAUGUUACCUGAUGCUUAGAGGCUUUUCCUGGAAGCAGGGCAUUUGUUGCUUCAGCACCGUAGUGCCUCGUCAUCACGCCUCGGCCUUGAUUUUCCGGAUUUGCCUGGAAAACCAGCCUACACGCUUAAACCGGGACAACCGUCGCCCGGCCAACAUAGCCUUCUCCGUCCCCCCUUCGCAGUAACACCAAGUACAGGAAUAUUAACCUGUUUCCCAUCGACUACGCCUUUCGGCCUCGCCUUAGGGGUCGACUCACCCUGCCCCGAUUAACGUUGGACAGGAACCCUUGGUCUUCCGGCGAGCGGGCUUUUCACCCGCUUUAUCGUUACUUAUGUCAGCAUUCGCACUUCUGAUACCUCCAGCAUACCUCACAGUACACCUUCACAGGCUUACAGAACGCUCCCCUACCCAACAACGCAUAAGCGUCGCUGCCGCAGCUUCGGUGCAUGGUUUAGCCCCGUUACAUCUUCCGCGCAGGCCGACUCGACCAGUGAGCUAUUACGCUUUCUUUAAAUGAUGGCUGCUUCUAAGCCAACAUCCUGGCUGUCUGGGCCUUCCCACAUCGUUUCCCACUUAACCAUGACUUUGGGACCUUAGCUGGCGGUCUGGGUUGUUUCCCUCUUCACGACGGACGUUAGCACCCGCCGUGUGUCUCCCGUGAUAACAUUCUCCGGUAUUCGCAGUUUGCAUCGGGUUGGUAAGUCGGGAUGACCCCCUUGCCGAAACAGUGCUCUACCCCCGGAGAUGAAUUCACGAGGCGCUACCUAAAUAGCUUUCGGGGAGAACCAGCUAUCUCCCGGUUUGAUUGGCCUUUCACCCCCAGCCACAAGUCAUCCGCUAAUUUUUCAACAUUAGUCGGUUCGGUCCUCCAGUUAGUGUUACCCAACCUUCAACCUGCCCAUGGCUAGAUCACCGGGUUUCGGGUCUAUACCCUGCAACUUAACGCCCAGUUAAGACUCGGUUUCCCUUCGGCUCCCCUAUUCGGUUAACCUUGCUACAGAAUAUAAGUCGCUGACCCAUUAUACAAAAGGUACGCAGUCACACGCCUAAGCGUGCUCCCACUGCUUGUACGUACACGGUUUCAGGUUCUUUUUCACUCCCCUCGCCGGGGUUCUUUUCGCCUUUCCCUCACGGUACUGGUUCACUAUCGGUCAGUCAGGAGUAUUUAGCCUUGGAGGAUGGUCCCCCCAUAUUCAGACAGGAUACCACGUGUCCCGCCCUACUCAUCGAGCUCACAGUAUGUGCAUUUUUGUGUACGGGGCUGUCACCCUGUAUCGCACGCCUUUCCAGACGCUUCCACUAACACACACACUGAUUCAGGCUCUGGGCUGCUCCCCGUUCGCUCGCCGCUACUGGGGGAAUCUCGGUUGAUUUCUUUUCCUCGGGGUACUUAGAUGUUUCAGUUCCCCCGGUUCGCCUCAUUAACCUAUGGAUUCAGUUAAUGAUAGUGUGACGAAUCACACUGGGUUUCCCCAUUCGGAAAUCGCCGGUUAUAACGGUUCAUAUCACCUUACCGACGCUUAUCGCAGAUUAGCACGUCCUUCAUCGCCUCUGACUGCCAGGGCAUCCACCGUGUACGCUUAGUCGCUUAA